AUUGAACGCUGGCGGCAUGCCUUACACAUGCAAGUCGAACGGCAGCACGGGUGCUUGCACCUGGUGGCGAGUGGCGAACGGGUGAGUAAUACAUCGGAACGUACCUUAUCGUGGGGGAUAACGCAGCGAAAGCUGUGCUAAUACCGCAUACGCCCUGAGGGGGAAAGCGGGGGAUCGAAAGACCUCGCGCGAUUAGAGCGGCCGAUGCCUGAUUAGCUUGUUGGUGGGGUAAAAGCACAGCAAGGCGACGAUCAGUAGCUGGUCUGAGAGGACGAUCAGCCCCACUGGGACUGAGACACGGCCCAGACUCCUACGGGAGGGAGCAUUGGGGAAUUAUGGACAAUGGGGGCAACCCUGAUCCAGCAAUGCCGCGUGAGUGAAGAAGGCCUUCGGGUUGUAAAGCUCUUUUGUCAGGGAAGAAACACCGGCUCUAACACAGUCCGGGAAUGACGGUACCUGAAGAAUAAGCACCGGCUAACUACGUGCCAGCCGCCGCCGUAA
RNAcentral lists this ribosomal RNA (501 nucleotides) under uncultured bacterium. RNAcentral's name for it is "partial 16S ribosomal RNA". It matches the Rfam family "Bacterial small subunit ribosomal RNA", at positions 29 to 523 of the family's 1533-position model. The record is from RNAcentral.